GCGGGCGUGGCGAAACUGGUAGACGCAAGGGACUUAAAAUCCCUCGGCCUUGGCCAUGCGGGUUCGAUCCCCGCCGCCCGCACCA
Molecule: transfer RNA, 85 nt
Filed under: Rhizobiaceae bacterium
Lineage: Bacteria; Pseudomonadati; Pseudomonadota; Alphaproteobacteria; Hyphomicrobiales; Rhizobiaceae
Description: tRNA-Leu
Rfam family: tRNA
About the family: Transfer RNA (tRNA) molecules are approximately 80 nucleotides in length. Their secondary structure includes four short double-helical elements and three loops (D, anti-codon, and T loops).
Source: RNAcentral